Molecule: ribosomal RNA, 119 nt
Filed under: Triticum aestivum (bread wheat)
Lineage: Eukaryota; Viridiplantae; Streptophyta; Magnoliopsida; Poales; Poaceae
Source: RNAcentral
UGAUACGAUCAUACCAGCACUAAAGCACCGGAUCCCAUCAGAACUCCGAAGUUAAGCGUGCUUGGGCGAGAGUAGUACUAGGAUGGGUGACCUCCUGGGAAGUCCUCGUGUUGCAUUCC